Paramuricea clavata is the source of this 1173-nucleotide non-coding RNA. Lineage: Eukaryota; Metazoa; Cnidaria; Anthozoa; Malacalcyonacea; Plexauridae. The record is from the annotation of a GenBank genome assembly.
UGUAGAUGUCUUGAAUUUACUUACAAGGUCAUCUAUGAACAUUUAUGAGUCAUCUGUGAGCGAUCUGUGUAGACAUCUAUGUAGUCAUCUGUGAGUGAUCUAUGAAGAUGUCUUGAAUUUACUUACAAGGUCAUCUAUGAACAUCUGUGAGUUAUCUAUGUAGAUGGUGACUGAAUCGUUCAGGUUGGUGGUAAUUAUUUGAGGUUGUGAGGUGAUUAUGUUAAGUUGGGGGUUUCCCUUGAAUCUUGCGAUAUUAGUUGCGACCUGAUGGGGGGAUUUCCCUUAAAUCUUGCGAUAUUAGUUGCGACUUAGUAUUUCACUGUUGGGGAAUUCCCUAAAUCUUGCGGUUUGAUUGCGGGACUUGUGUGACCAGCUUGUAAACUUUUGCGGUGUGAAUAACAAUUCGUGCUUCUCCUGCUAAGAUUGGAAAUUCCCUAUUGCCUCUGGUAUAAUAAGUAUGAAGAGGGAAAUCCUCCGUUCCUCUUAUGGAAGACAACCUGGUUUCACCUGUAGGAAUAAGUUAAAACAUCAUGUAUAGUAUAGAUAAAGAAAUGUAUUCCAAGAGUUACUGUUGUGAUAAUAAGUAUGUGUUCCUAAAGAAUAGUAUCAGUAUUUCACGAAGGACUUAUAAUAUUGAGGCAGGGAAGUAUGAGGUGGCCUCUGGGAAGACAAAAACUGUUUAUCUCUCAGAGAUAAGAAGAUGUGUAAGCAAGUAUGUGAAGAAGUCUGAUGUAGAUGAAGUUGUUAAUGUGAUUGUUAAGAUUAGAAAGCUACUGAACAGUGAAAAUCUUAAGUGUUGCCCUAGUAUGAGAUUCCAUCUUGUAAGAGUCUGUAGUGCGCUUGGAAUUGAGCCUAAUGAACGAUUACGGGAUCUGUAUCCAUCUAAUAUAAAGGCUAAGCAUGAAUUCCUGUUCUAUGGUGUAAUUGUUCUUACUAUUAGCCUUGAUGUGAGCAACUGCAAAUAUUUCCAUGAGUGGUACAAAGAUCUAAAGCGAAGAGUGAGGGAAUUGGGGGAUAUUUGUAUUGGACCUGAGUGGAUAGAUUGGGGUGAUCGUUGGACGGAGUUCUGGUAUAGGGAAAAUAAUGGGCUGAAUGACGGAUUUGUAAUAUGUGGGAGAGGAAGAUAGUUAAACCUAUGGUAUAGUAAAGAUGGAUGGUUUGAAAAAAUUCGAG